UACGUAGGGGGCGAGCGUUGUCCGGAUUCAUUGGGCGUAAAGGGCGCGUAGGCGGCGGGGUAAGUCGGGUGUGAAAUCUCAGAGCUCAACUCUGAAACUGCACUCGAUACUGCUCUGCUGGAGGACUGGAGAGGAGACUGGAAUUCACGGUGUAGCAGUGAAAUGCGUAGAUAUCGUGAGGAAGACCAGUGGCGAAGGCGGGUCUCUGGACAGUUCCUGACGCUGAGGCGCGAAGGCCAGGGGAGCAAACGGG
This 253-nucleotide ribosomal RNA is filed under the name uncultured bacterium. RNAcentral describes it as "partial 16S ribosomal RNA". It matches the Rfam family "Bacterial small subunit ribosomal RNA", at positions 524 to 776 of the family's 1533-position model. The record is from RNAcentral.